Non-coding RNA from Acanthosepion pharaonis, 99 nucleotides. The record is from the annotation of a GenBank genome assembly. Lineage: Eukaryota; Metazoa; Mollusca; Cephalopoda; Sepiida; Sepiidae.
GUUCAAACACCUGUUCCCGUACGAUCACCGAAGUUAAGCCAAGUCGAGCCUGGUUAGUAGCUAGAUGGGUGACCGCUUGGGAAUACCAGGUGCUGUAAG